Molecule: RNA transcript, 4551 nt
Organism: Poecile atricapillus (Black-capped chickadee)
Lineage: Eukaryota; Metazoa; Chordata; Aves; Passeriformes; Paridae
Gene: SLC45A3
Gene name: solute carrier family 45 member 3
Exons: 8
Source: RefSeq, a predicted model, not a curated record
AAACUGCGGCGGAGGCGCGGGCUGGGCUCAGCCCCGGCUGCCGCACAGGGACACCCGCGGUGACCGCGCUGCUCCGGAGAUUCCCGAACGGGCGGAGAGUUUGGGGAGCGGGAUGGAGCCCCAGAAAUCCUGAAGGAUUGCAGCCUGUGAGCAGCAGGGGAAGCCUGCAGCAGGAUCCCUGCCCGGGCUCCCCACAUCCCACCAGAAGAGGAAGAGGAAAAGACGGUUCCUUCGCUGUUGAUAAAAUGGGAAGCAGCAUCUCGCCAGCACCCCGCGAAGGGAAGCUCCAAUCCUUGCCUGGGGGGCAUCCCUGGGAUCUGUGCAGCUGGCAGGACACGGCCCUGUGCCACUGAGGGGUGGGGACAGCGUGGCUGGGGACAGCAUGUCCUUCCAGAGCCGCCGGAGCCAGCUGCUGCUGGUCAACUCGCUGACCUUCGGGCUGGAGGUGUGCCUGGCCGCCGGCAUCACCUACGUGCCCCCGCUGCUGCUGGAGGUGGGCGUGGAGGAGAAGUUCAUGACCAUGGUUUUGGGGAUAGGCCCUGUCCUCGGGCUGGUUUUUGUGCCUCUGAUCGGCUCUGCCAGCGACCACUGGCGCAGCAGCUACGGCCGGAGGAGACCUUUCAUCUGGCUGCUGAGCCUGGGCGUGCUGCUCAGCCUCUUCCUCAUCCCCCACGCCAGCAGCCUGGCCAGCCUGUGUGCCCUCAACCCCCGGCCUCUGGAGAUCGCCUUCCUCAUCCUGGGCAUCGGGCUGCUGGAUUUCUGCGGCCAGGUGUGCUUCACCCCGCUGGAGGCCCUGCUCUCCGACCUCUUCCAGGAGCCGGACAAUUGCCGCCAGGCCUUCUCCGUGUACGCCUUCAUGAUCAGCCUGGGGGGCUGCAUCGGCUACCUGCUGCCCGCCAUCGACUGGGCCUUCCUGGCGCCCUACCUGGGAGGCCAGCAGAGCUGCCUCUUCAGCCUGCUGGCCCUCAUCUUCCUCGCCUGCGUGCUGGCCACGCUGUUUGUGGCGGAGGAGGCGGCUCAGGGGGAUGUCCCAGAGGGGCCAGCGCUCAAGGACGCGUCCCCCAAGGUGUCCCUGCCGUGCAGGUGCUGCGGGCUGGCGCGGGGGUCGUGGCUGCUGCAGGGCAGGCAGGUGCUGCGGGCGGCCAGGAACGUGUGCGCGCUGCUGCCGCGGCUGCACGGCCUCUGCUGCCGCAUCCCCAGGGUCAUCCGCCGCCUCUUCGUGGCCGAGCUCUGCAGCUGGAUGGCUCUCAUGACUUUCAUGCUGUUCUACACGGAUUUUGUCGGGGAAGGGCUGUACCACGGCGUGCCCAGGGCCAAGCCGGGCACGGAGGCCAGGCGCCGCUACGAUGAAGGUGUCCGGAUGGGCAGCUUGGGCCUCUUCCUGCAGUGCAUCACCUCCAUCUUCUUCUCGACAAUCAUGGACCGGCUGGUGAAGCGCUUUGGGACGCGGGCAGUGUACCUGGCCAGCGUGGUGUUCUUCCCCGGGGCCGCCUCUGUCAUGUGCCUGUCCCACAGUGUCACCGUGGUCACCAUCUCCGCUGCCCUGACUGGAUUCACCUUCUCCGCCCUCCAGAUCCUGCCCUACACGCUGGCAUCCCUCUACCACCACGACAAACAGGUAUUUCUGCACAAAUACAAGAGGAAAGAGGAGGAAGAUGCCGCUCUGCUGGACAAAAAAUCAGCUUUCUCCAAGGGGCUGCUCUCCAGCCAGAAGCUUCCUUACCAGAAUGGCCACACUGGGAACCUCUUCUCCUCCUCCUCCUCCUCCUCUUCCUCCUCCUCCUCCUCCUCCUCCUCCCCUCCGGCCGUGUCCAGCUCUGCUCUGUGCGUCAGCUCCUCCUGCGACGUCUCCCUGCGGAUGGUGGUGGGAGAGCCGGAGCCGGGGGCUCCUGGCCGGGGGAUCUGCCUGGACCUGGCCAUCCUGGACAGCGCCUUCCUCCUGUCCCAGGUGGUGCCCUCGCUCUUCAUGGGCUCCAUCGUGCAGUUCACGCAGUCGGUCACCGCCUACAUGGUGUCUGCUGCUGGAUUCGGCCUGGUGGCCAUCUACUUCGCAACCAAAGUCGUCUUCGACAAGGGUGACAUGGCCAAGUGCUCCGUGUGACACCGGGGGUGGCAGCAGGUGGCAGAGCGGACUGUGUGUGUCCCCAGGGUCUGGAACCAGCCCUGUGUGUCCCCAGGGAUGUCACUGGCCAUGUGUGUCCCCAGGGGUCUGUCACCAGCCAUGCCCCAGCUGCUGCUGUCACCCCGGGGGUGGCUGUGGGGCUGCGGGCAGCACGGGGUUAAUCUCAGGUGUAAAUCAGAGGCUUUGGGGCGGUGUCCUCAGGGCCAGAGGUGCUUUCCAGAGGUGCCUUUAGCAGAGGGAAGCGCGGCACAGCAGCACCAAAGGGUUUCUCCAGGGGGGAAAAGGGGAAUUGUGUCCCCCCGGUAACGGGUCGUGCUCCUGAGCAGGAGCUGCACAGCGAGGGGAUCCAUCCUUGCCUCUCCUCCACCUCCAGCUGACUCCUCUCCCCCUGCUUGCUGUAGUUUUACCCAACUUCUUGAGCAAUAAUUCAGCAAAUGGGAUGCGGGGAGGAGAUUUCCUGGGGAAAAAAAGCAGCGGGGAGGCCGAGGUUUGGCUGUGGGGCUGAAGGGGUGCCCAGGUGUUCACCCACAUUUCUGCCCUCCUCUCCUUCCCCUCCUCCAUCCAAAACCAUCCAGGAGAAAACUUAGCGUGCCUUGUUUUGGGAAAAACAAGGAACAUCCCAUUAGGACCGGUUCCAAAAGGUGACUUAACCUUUACCUGUGUACAGGCUUGCAUCAGAUAGGGAGAACUUCUGAGCUUUUAUUUAUUUUAUUUUAUUUUAAUGAUUGUUUUUACCUUUCUUCACAUGGUUCUCAGUCACUCUGACCUCUCACUCCUCACCUCAGUGCCUGAGCCUGCAUUUUCUCUCUCCCCUCAUGGAUCCAGACUGUUCUGCCUCUUCCUUCCACUCACAGCCCCUGGAAGAUGCUGCCAUUCCCAGAUUCCCAGAGGGAAAUCCGCUCCCAGAGGGGUUUUCAGUGCUGUGGCAGUGAUGCAGAGCAGGAAAAGCUCUCCUGGAUGGGUUAAACUCAGACCUGCAGCUGGUCCCGUGGCUGUCUGGGCUUUCUUAAAAUGUAUUUUAUUUCCAGUCAGGAGUUCUCACUGACAGAAAGCCCCUCCUGCCGCCCUCACCCAGGGCACAAACCCUCCAGGGAUGUCCAGGUUGUUUUGGCCACCAGCUCUGAGUCACUUCCCUCUGGCAGCAGAGCCCGAUUCCCCCUGCCCAGAACCAUUCCCUGUCCCCAGUGACCCAGCUGGGACAAUUCUGCUGCUGGCAGAUUCCUGCAGGAGCUCCCCACACUCCGAGGAGGAGCUCAGGAGGAGCUCAGGAGUCAGGAAUGAUCCGAAAUGCCAAGGAAAAGCUGAGAUUGGUGCUGUGAGCACACAAACCCCAGCCAUCCUCGGCUCUGCCUGGGCUGAACCAGGCAAAAAACCAACGUUUGUGACUAAUUUUUAUUUUUUGAGGUGUGUGGGCAGCCAGAGGCACUUGUGAGGUUGGGCUGGAGGGUGAAAUGUUGCUAUUUUGGCAGAGUUUUGUCAGCCUGUUCUUUGGCAGGGAGGCCGGGUGACUCCCCUGCUGUCUGAGCCGGGCCCUCAAAGGUUUGGAAUCGUCCCUUUCCCGUCAGGGGUCACUGUUUUUGUUUUAGUUCUUCUCAAAUUAUAGCCUGCCAGCCUCCCUUUCCCACAGCAAGGGCUGUGCUGACACGCAGCUGCUUUGGGGAUGGAUUUGGCAGUGCUCAAACCACUUCCAGAAACAGUUUUGGGGUCUGUCCUACCCUGGGCUCUGUCCAGUCCAGGCUGCAGCAGGAAGGAUCUGAGACAAAAUCCCAUUGCUAGAGUUGGGAUAAUAAAUUCCCUGAAUAAAUUCCUCGACCCAAGGCUGGAAACCCCUUUAUUUUUAAUAUUUCUUAUGUAAAUGUGAGGAACUUCCCCUGCACAGAGGCUGCUCUGAUGCUCAAGUGCUUUUGAUCAUUUAAGUGCCUAAAGUGCUUCCACACUGAGCUUCAGGGGACGGGGUUUGGUGGGAAAGGCCUUAAAUUGUUCUUUUCAAACCCCAGGGUCAGAGGGGCGCAGAGCUGGGGAUUAAACCAGGAGAUGAGGGAGUAGGAGGAUGAGGAAAUCUUCACAAAAUUGGCUUUUUUUGGCUUCUUCUGAGAAAAUUUCUGCAUCAGCAUCGUGUGAAAGAGCAGCAAUGGGUGUUGUAGUCUGGGUAAAAGCAUCCCUGCUGUUACUGAUAUUUCCUGUGUGACCACGGAAUUCCUCUAGGAUUUGCUCCUGCCUGGCCACAGGUUUGGGGAGGAGCUCCUCAGAGCUUUUCUCCUCCAGGUAUGAGGUGGAUUCUCUUCCUCACAGGUGAAUCCUGCCCCACCUUUCCUUUGUGGAGUUUGGAAUGGGGAGGAGGGAGAGCUGCUGUGGGAAUUCCCUGCUGUGGAUCCCUGGGAUGGGGAAGGGCUGGGGGGGAUGGAUGGAUGGAAUCCAUGAAUGGAUGA